AGAAAAGCAAAGUUGUUUUUAGACUUGAUAUGUCAGCUGUGUAUGAUCCACUGAUCUUCGGCACAGGAACAUAUCUGGAGGUAGAACCAAAAAGUCAGCCUCCUACCAAACCAUCUGUUUUCCUUAUGAAAAAUGGGACCAAAGUCGCUUGUCUGGUGAAGGAUUUCUAUCCCAAGGAUGUCAUUAUAAAUCUUGAAUCAUCCAAAAAGAUAACUGAAUUUGACCCUACUGUCGUCCUCGCUGCCAAUGGGAAGUACAGCGCCGUCAGGCUUGGUCAGUAUGAAGAUUCAGAUUCAGUGACAUGUUCAGUUCGACACAACAAUCAACUUGUGCAAUCCACUGACUUUGAAUUAAAGCCAACUUCUUCAGUGUUUGUUCCAGUUACUGUAGAAGCAACAAAACCUGAAGACAAACAGCAAAGUUCAGCGAGCUGCUAUGAACCCAAAGUGCAAGCCAGGAAGGUGAACAUGAUGUCUCUCACGCUGCUGGGGCUCAGAAUGCUGUUUGCCAAGAGUAUUGCCAUCAAUUUUCUCUUGACUGCCAAGUUACUUUUCUUAUAAGGAUGACUGGCAUGAGGAGGCUAUACUUCCUGAAAGCCUACAAAGAUGCUCUCUCCUAACUUCCACCUUCUCAGGGACUCAGGUUGGCCUGUCCCAGCCUAACUUAGAGGGCCACUGCCCAAAAUGGUUUUUCCUUGAAAGACACAAACCCUGCUACAGCAAUAACAGCUUCAUAGAAGGACAAAAAUCCUGGGAAGAAGGAGCUUACGAUCCUAACUGCAUUACUGCUACUUCAUAAAGGAUGUAGGACUCAUUUUUUUACUCCUACACUGAUAGACUUUGGAAAUGGGGUUUUGUUCCUUUUUUACUUUCUUUGCCUCCAGGGGUCAAUACAUUCUCCAAGAGCAAAACAGGUCCUGAGGGACAGAGAGCAUGUUUACCUGCCCAACCCAGUAAUAAAUUUGCCCCCAAACCACCAGUCUC
This is a non-coding RNA of Choloepus didactylus (southern two-toed sloth), 983 nucleotides long. NCBI's taxonomy places the organism in Eukaryota, Metazoa, Chordata, Mammalia, Pilosa, Megalonychidae. The record is from the annotation of a RefSeq genome assembly.